Molecule: ribosomal RNA, 253 nt
Filed under: uncultured bacterium
Lineage: Bacteria
Description: partial 16S ribosomal RNA
Rfam family: Bacterial small subunit ribosomal RNA
Source: RNAcentral
GACGUAGGGCGCGAGCGUUGUCCGGAUUUAUUGGGCGUAAAGAGCUCGUAGGCGGCUCAUCGCGUCUGCCGUGAAAACCCGCAGCUCAACUGCGGGCUUGCGGUUGAUACGGGUGGGCUGGAGUUCGGUAGGGGAGAAUGGAAUUCCUGGUGUAGCGGUGAAAUGCGCAGAUAUCAGGAAGAACACCAAUGGCGAAGGCAGCUCUCUGGGACGGUACUGACGCUGAGACGCGAAAGCGUGGGGAGCGAACAGG